UACAGGGGGGGCAAGCGUUGUUCGGAAUUACUGGGCGUAAAGGGCUCGUAGGUGGCCAACUAAGUCGGACGUGAAAUCCCUCAGCUUAACUGGGGAACUGCAUCCGAUACUGGAUGGCUUGAGUUUGGGAGAGGGAUGCGGAAUUCCAGGUGUAGCGGUGAAAUGCGUAGAUAUGCGGAGGAACACCGAUGGCGAAGGCAAUCCCCUGGGCCUGCACUGACGCUCAUGCACGAAAGCGUGGGGAGCAAACAGG
Molecule: ribosomal RNA, 253 nt
Filed under: uncultured bacterium
Lineage: Bacteria
Description: partial 16S ribosomal RNA
Rfam family: Bacterial small subunit ribosomal RNA
Source: RNAcentral